This 301-nucleotide ribosomal RNA is filed under the name uncultured bacterium. RNAcentral's name for it is "partial 16S ribosomal RNA". It matches the Rfam family "Bacterial small subunit ribosomal RNA", at positions 509 to 809 of the family's 1533-position model. The record is from RNAcentral.
CAGCAGCCGCGGUAAUACGUAGGUGGCAAGCGUUGUCCGGAAUUAUUGGGCGUAAAGGGCUCGCAGGCGGUUUCUUAAGUCUGAUGUGAAAGCCCCCGGCUCAACCGGGGAGGGUCAUGGGAAACUGGGAAACUUGAGUGCAGAAGAGGAGAGUGGAAUUCCACGUGUAGCGGUGAAAUGCGUAGGGAUGUGGAGGAACACCAGUGGCGAAGGCGACUCUCUGGUCUGUAACUGACGCUGAGGAUCGAAAGCGUGGGGAGCGAACAGGAUUAGAUACCCCGGUAGUCCCUGUCUCUUAUAU